RNAcentral lists this ribosomal RNA (511 nucleotides) under uncultured bacterium. RNAcentral describes it as "bacterial SSU rRNA". It matches the Rfam family "Bacterial small subunit ribosomal RNA", at positions 34 to 518 of the family's 1533-position model. The record is from RNAcentral.
CGCUGGCGGCGUGCCUAAUACAUGCAAGUCGAACGGCUUUUCUAUGGAAGCUUGCUUCCACUGAGAAGAUAGUGGCGAACGGGUGAGUAACACGUGGGUAACCUGCCCAUAAGAGGGGGAUAACAUCCGGAAACGGGUGCUAAUACCGCAUAGUUUUCUUGAUUGCAUGAUUGAGAAAGGAAAGACGGCCUUUGUGCUGUCGCUUAUGGAUGGACCCGCGGCGUAUUAGUUAGUUGGUGAGGUAACGGCUCACCAAGACGAUGAUACGUAGCCGACCUGAGAGGGUGAUCGGCCACAUUGGGACUGAGACACGGCCCAAACUCCUACGGGAGGCAGCAGUAGGGAAUCUUCCGCAAUGGACGAAAGUCUGACGGAGCAACGCCGCGUGAGUGAAGAAAGGUUUUCGGAUCGUAAAACUCUGUUGUCAGAGAAGAACAAGUUGGAGAGUAACUGCUCCAGCCUUGACGGUAUCUGACCAGAAAGCCACGGCUAACUACGUGCCAGCCGCAGC